This 491-nucleotide ribosomal RNA is filed under the name uncultured bacterium. Its description in RNAcentral is "partial 16S ribosomal RNA". It matches the Rfam family "Bacterial small subunit ribosomal RNA", at positions 29 to 507 of the family's 1533-position model. The record is from RNAcentral.
GUGAACGCUGGCGGUAGGCCUAACACAUGCAAGUCGAACGGCAGCACAGUAAGAGCUUGCUCUUACGGGUGGCGAGUGGCGGACGGGUGAGGAAUACAUCGGAAUCUACUUUUUCGUGGGGGAUAACGUAGGGAAACUUACGCUAAUACCGCAUACGACCUACGGGUGAAAGCAGGGGAUCUUCGGACCUUGCGCGAUUGAAUGAGCCGAUGUCGGAUUAGCUAGUUGGCGGGGUAAAGGCCCACCAAGGCGACGAUCCGUAGCGGGUCUGAGAGGAUGAUCAGCCACACUGGAACUGAGGCACGGUCCAGACUCCUACGGGAGGCAGCAGUGGGGAAUAUUGGACAAUGGGCGCAAGCCUGAUCCAGCCAUACCGCGUGGGUGAAGAAGGCCUUCGGGUUGUAAAGCCCUUUUGUUGGGAAAGAAAAGCAGCAGGUUAAUACCCCGCUGUUCUGACGGUACCCAAAGAAUAAGCACCGGCUAACUUCGUG